AUUGAACGCUGGCGGCAGGCUUAACACAUGCAAGUCGAGCGGGGGAAGGUAGCUUGCUACCGGACCUAGCGGCGGACGGGUGAGUAAUGCUUAGGAAUCUGCCUAUUAGUGGGGGACAACAUCUCGAAAGGGAUGCUAAUACCGCAUACGUCCUACGGGAGAAAGCAGGGGAUCUUCGGACCUUGCGCUAAUAGAUGAGCCUAAGUCGGAUUAGCUAGUUGGUGGGGUAAAGGCCUACCAAGGCGACGAUCUGUAGCGGGUCUGAGAGGAUGAUCCGCCACACUGGGACUGAGACACGGCCCAGACUCCUACGGGAGGCAGCAGUGGGGAAUAUUGGACAAUGGGGGGAACCCUGAUCCAGCCAUGCCGCGUGUGUGAAGAAGGCCUUAUGGUUGUAAAGCACUUUAAGCGAGGAGGAGGCUACUUUAGUUAAUACCUAGAGAUAGUGGACGUUACUCGCAGAAUAAGCACCGGCUAACUCUGUGCCAGCAGCCGCGGUAAUACAGAGGGUGCGAGCGUUAAUCGGAUUUACUGGGCGUAAAGCGUGCGUAGGCGGCUUAUUAAGUCGGAUGUGAAAUCCCCGAGCUUAACUUGGGAAUUGCAUUCGAUACUGGUGAGCUAGAGUAUGGGAGAGGAUGGUAGAAUUCCAGGUGUAGCGGUGAAAUGCGUAGAGAUCUGGAGGAAUACCGAUGGCGAAGGCAGCCAUCUGGCCUAAUACUGACGCUGAGGUACGAAAGCAUGGGGAGCAAACAGGAUUAGAUACCCUGGUAGUCCAUGCCGU
This 781-nucleotide ribosomal RNA is filed under the name Acinetobacter baumannii Naval-81. Its description in RNAcentral is "bacterial SSU rRNA". It matches the Rfam family "Bacterial small subunit ribosomal RNA", at positions 28 to 803 of the family's 1533-position model. The record is from RNAcentral. Lineage: Bacteria; Pseudomonadati; Pseudomonadota; Gammaproteobacteria; Moraxellales; Moraxellaceae.